ACACAUCUAACCACUCUUCAGCUGAUAUCCACUUGCUGACAAAUGAAUCUCUCUGGCCCCUGGACUGUGCCCUGAAACACAGCUUAAAACAGCAGAAUGAACAGUAAUCCCAGAGAUCCUGAGAUGAGAAAAGGGUGUUUGACUUAUUCAAAGAAGACCAAGGAAGCCCAAAGACCAGAGAAGAGUGCAGGAAAGGGGCGGCGGUCUGAGAUGCAGUCAGAGCAGUGGCAAGCCCCCAGAGUCUGUGGCAAAGACUUCAGGUUUCAUCCUGAAGAGGAAGACAGGUCUUUGGAGAGUUUUGAUCAAGGAAGUGAGAUGAAAUAUCUUAGGCUUACAAAGAACUACUCUGACAUCUAAAUGGAAAAUGGACUGAUGAAGCAAAAGAAGCCACAAGGAAGCCAGUUCAGAGGCUAUUGAAAUGCUCCAGAUACUCAGAGAGUGAGAGCCUUCAGAUUUGGGUGAGUGAUGCCAUUAGAACCAAGAUUUCUUCCAUUCUUCUGCUCUAUCAUUCUCAGCACAACAUGCUUUUCUCAUUAAGGCCGCUGUGGUUCGUCUUCUGCCUGGGAACUGGAUAAAAACAUCAGUGAAUACCCCAAAGGUCAGAAUUUCAGAACUGCUGCCACAACUGUAUUGUCACCAAGUAGUCACCAUGCUCUCACUCACUCUCUUUUUUUAAGAGGCCUGGUCAUGUCCGGGGGAAUGCCAGAUUUUCAAAAAUGCUUGUUGAUAAAAUGAAGUCAGAAUGUGAGAUGAGCCCUUCCACCUGAGUGAUGUUGGUCUUGGCUGUGUGAUUUGCUUUGGCUGAUGAUAAGUUGAUGGAAGUGAUAGUAAGACAAUGCUGAGCCUCAUCCUCGGAAGUAUCUCUGCCUUCACCUGGCUUUGUGCACCACUGCCCUGGCUUUGAGAAGAACAUGAGCCCAGUAAAUUGUUAGUCCAGGAAGAAUGAGAGAGAAAGUCCUGAGGCAGAGAAGUGGAGAGAAGUUGCUGCUUGAGCUUGAGAAAGAAUGGUGGCAGAGUACAUGCAUGGAAGUGCUACCAUAGCUGCUCUGAAAUCAGAGGAAAGUGGAAUUAUAAGAAGACCCCAUCUGACAAGGCUCAUAAAGGAGAGCAACUCUUAUGGAAUACAUCCAAGAUAUAUACGUCUUUGAAGAAAGACAUCACUCAACUGUGAAAGAUCACCAUGACCCCUGCUUUAAUUUCAUCAAAAAACUUAGUCCAUCAGCUCAGUUACCCUUUAGCCUUGCAUGGGAAUUGACUCAGAGCUUCUGCAAGAUCAGGCCCUAUAUUAGGUAUUGAGGGUUCAGGGAUGAACUAAGCUGAUCUGGUUCCUGCUCUCUAGGCUGUAGAAGAUGGCAAGUGCUGUGGACUUCAAAGAAAAGAUUUCUGAAGUGUCAUGUUAUGACAAUUGUGAUGCUUCAAACUAUGUUGACUAUUCAUUUACAGCAUAAAGAAGAGUGAGCCACUUUAUCACUGCAGUAAUUAUAUUUUAAAAAUAAAGAAAAUAAAACAAAUGGAGUUUCCCACCCAAUCCAUGGAGACACAGACACGAAGUCUUACUAUAGAUGUGUGGCCAAUCCUUACAUUGCUUUUAUUACAAGCCUGGAAAUGACAAUAAAAUACAUGAACUUGAGAGUAUAUA
RNAcentral lists this long non-coding RNA (1639 nucleotides) under Homo sapiens (human). RNAcentral's name for it is "HSALNT0393723". The record is from RNAcentral. Lineage: Eukaryota; Metazoa; Chordata; Mammalia; Primates; Hominidae.